GUUAACAGCUGAGGUGAAACCUUUUUUUCUCAAGGUUUUUUUUUUCUCUUCGGCCAAAGCGCUUCAUGUUUUCCAAACCGCUACUCAGAAUCCUAUAGGUGGAGGGAAGGAACGCUGUGGGUGAAAGUAGGAGUCAGGUGAUGCUGUAGGACUUUGUGACUUAAAGGAUCGCAAGAGACGCUGAGGUACUGGACCCAGAAUUUGCUGUCGGAGAAAAGCCAUCUAACAGUGGGACUGCACCUCAUUCCGCUUGUGUAACAAGAAGCAAUCUGAUUAGCCAGCUCAUGUGUACACAGAUCCCCCGAGACUGGACUGGCAAACAAGUGGGAUAUUUGCAGAUUGCAUUUGGAAACCCCCCUCUAGAAUUCCUGCGUUUGCCACUGAAAUGACUAUGACCAACUUAAUCUGUCGUGGCAGAGAAGCAUUUUACUGGUACAGAGACAAAUGGAGCAGAAUAAAGAUAGCCGCAUUAAGGGGCUGCUAAACAUACUUCAUCAGUGGCUAUUAAAAGGGCAAUGUACUAGUAAUAUUGUCAAAUAAAAUCAAGUUUAUGGAAAUAAA
Molecule: long non-coding RNA, 561 nt
Organism: Pseudophryne corroboree (corroboree frog)
Lineage: Eukaryota; Metazoa; Chordata; Amphibia; Anura; Myobatrachidae
Exons: 3
Source: RefSeq, a predicted model, not a curated record